This 457-nucleotide ribosomal RNA is filed under the name uncultured Rhodoferax sp. Its description in RNAcentral is "bacterial SSU rRNA". It matches the Rfam family "Bacterial small subunit ribosomal RNA", at positions 923 to 1382 of the family's 1533-position model. Lineage: Bacteria; Pseudomonadati; Pseudomonadota; Betaproteobacteria; Burkholderiales; Comamonadaceae. The record is from RNAcentral.
GCACAGCGGUGGAUGAUGUGGUUUAAUUCGAUGCAACGCGAAAACCUUACCCACCUUUGACAUGUACGGAAUCCUUUAGAGAUAGAGGAGUGCUCGAAAGAGAACCGUAACACAGGUGCUGCAUGGCUGUCGUCAGCUCGUGUCGUGAGAUGUUGGGUUAAGUCCCGCAACGAGCGCAACCCUUGUCAUUAGUUGCUACAUUCAGUUGGGCACUCUAAUGAGACUGCCGGUGACAAGCCGGAGGAAGGUGGGGAUGACGUCAAGUCCUCAUGGCCCUUAUAGGUGGGGCUACACACGUCAUACAAUGGCUGGUACAAAGGGUUGCCAACCCGCGAGGGGGAGCUAAUCCCAUAAAGCCAGUCGUAGUCCGGAUCGUAGUCUGCAACUCGACUACGUGAAGUCGGAAUCGCUAGUAAUCGUGGAUCAGAAUGUCACGGUGAAUACGUUCCCGGGUCUU